AUGGCAGAAGAACGGGACGGCGCGGAGGAGAAGGCCGUCGUCGGAGCGGGAGAGCAGGAGGGGCAGAUCGUCGUCGCCGGAGCAGCGUACGAGGAGGAGGAGACGGGCGGCGGUCGGGGUGGCGGAGUUGGAGCCGCAGGAGGCGAGGAGGUCGGCAGGGGCGACGCGCAGUUGAUAUUCAUUCCGCCGCCGGGGUUCCGGUUCAGGCCGAGCGACGACGAGCUGAUCAGGUACUACCUGCUCCCCAAGCUGCAGGGCCGGGGCCACGCGCCCAACAGGGCCAUCAUCGAGCACAACGUGUACCAGUGCCACCCGGACGACCUCGUCGGCAAGUACAGGGGCCGGGGCGAGGGCAAGAGCUUCUACUUCCUGUCGCCGAGGGUGCGCCGGUACGACAACGGGGACCGGCCACGGCGGGACACGGAGGACGGCCGCGGCCGGUGGAAGGUGUCGACGGGCAAGAGGGACAUGCAGGAGAAGAAGGUGGCCGGCGACGGCACGACCCGCUACUGCAUGAGCGUCCUCAACUACUUCGAGAGCCCCAGAGGCGGCGGCCGCAAGUCCGAGUGGCUCAUGAGGGAGCUCACCGUCCCGGCGUACGAGAUCAAGCUCCCCAAGGACGGCGGCCCUGGCGGCAGGACGUUGGAUAGGUACGUGAUGUGCAAGAUUUACCUCAAAGACGACAAAGGCGACGACGACGAGGAGGCAGGGCCCAGCAGCGCCUCGCCGCUGCACCUGCACGGGCCGGUGGAGGGUGAUGAAGGGCCGACGGCGGAGCUUCCAAAGCUUUCGAAGAAAAUGGCGGGCAAGAGGCCCGCGGAGGACCAGCAGCUGCGGAACGCCGCCGCGAGGAAGCGGGCUCACCACUCAAAAUGCCUGCAAAUCGAGCCACCACCAGCACAAGGCAACGGCAUGCAAGCUCCGUUCAGCACGCCGGGAUACUACGGUGGAUCAGGGCAGCCCAUGCUCAUGGGGUGUCACGCUGGCACACCGAUGCCGCGGCCACUGCUGGCGUACAACAACGGCCAGGUGCACGUGCCACGGCAGCAGGUGCCGGUGAUGAUGAGACAGUCGGCGGCGUACAACGGACAGGUGACGGUGAUGGCGCGACCGCCGGCGGCGUACAACGGGAAGAUGCCGGUGAGGCAGCAGCAGGUGGCCAACGGCCAGGUGCGGCCGCCGCCGUGCCGGCCCGCAGGUAGCCCCAACGGCUAUGCUCAGAGUCUGACAAUGAUGGCGCGGCCUUCGUGCCCGGCCGGCCAAGCAGUGAACCCGCAGAUGCAGAAGCAGCCGGAGACGGAUGAGAUGCGCGCGAAGCGGGUGCUUCAACAGAACCUGGAGGAACACCUCCGGAUGCAGUCGUUCACGCAGCAGCAGCAACAGGUGAUGGCGUUCACGCAGCAGCAGCAGCAGCAGCAGCUGGCGAUGGCGUCCACGCACCAGCAGCGGCAGGCGAUGGCGUUCAUGAUGCGCCAGCAGCAGCAAUGGAGGAUGUCGUUCAUGUUGCACCAGCAGCAGCAGCAGUACCAUCAGCAGCAACAGCAACAGCACUUGGGCGGCGGCAACGCCAAUUACUAUCACCACGAAGGGGCCGUGGUCCUCCCGACGACGAGGAGUUCUCCAGGAGAGGCGGCGCUGGUAACAGCAGACGGCUCGCCGGUCAGUACGGUGGUGUCUGUGGAGGGAAACGAGGAGGGCUCCAACAACAACGGGGAUUGCAGCAGCCAUGGUCGGGAGGAGUCCGCGGCUUCGCCGGGCCGGGUGACGGCGCCGGCAUCGGCAGAGGGUGAUGGCCCCCAGCAUGCAUGA
RNAcentral lists this ribosomal RNA (1809 nucleotides) under Triticum aestivum (bread wheat). RNAcentral's name for it is "partial small subunit ribosomal RNA". The record is from RNAcentral. Lineage: Eukaryota; Viridiplantae; Streptophyta; Magnoliopsida; Poales; Poaceae.